UACGGAGGGUGCGAGCGUUGUCCGGAAUCACUGGGCGUAAAGGGCGCGUAGGCGGCUCGUGAAGUCAGUGGUGAAAGCCCUGGGCUCAACCCAGGAAGUGCACUCGAAACUGUCAGGCUUGAAUAUGGAAGAGGGUCGCGGAAUUCCCGGUGUAGAGGUGAAAUUCGUAGAUAUCGGGAGGAACACCAGUGGCGAAGGCGGCGACCUGGGCCAAUAUUGACGCUGAGGUGCGAAAGCGCGGGGAGCAAACAGG
Molecule: ribosomal RNA, 253 nt
Filed under: uncultured bacterium
Lineage: Bacteria
Description: partial 16S ribosomal RNA
Rfam family: Bacterial small subunit ribosomal RNA
Source: RNAcentral